UACGUAGGGGGCUAGCGUUGUCCGGAAUCAUUGGGCGUAAAGCGCGUGUAGGCGGUCCGGUAAGUCCGCUGUGAAAGUCGGGGGCUCAACCCUCGGAUGCCGGUGGAUACUGUCGGGCUUGAGUACGGAAGAGGCGAGUGGAAUUCCUGGUGUAGCGGUGAAAUGCGCAGAUAUCAGGAGGAACACCAUUGCGAAGGCAGCUCGCUGGGACGUUACUGACGCUGAGACGCGAAAGCGUGGGGAGCAAACAGG
This 252-nucleotide ribosomal RNA is filed under the name uncultured bacterium. RNAcentral's name for it is "partial 16S ribosomal RNA". It matches the Rfam family "Bacterial small subunit ribosomal RNA", at positions 524 to 776 of the family's 1533-position model. The record is from RNAcentral.